GAUUUUUAUAAGUCUUCUAAAUAUGCAUAAAAAUUUCUUGGUCUGCAUAAUUCUCAUAAGUAACAAUGCACAAAUUUUGAUAAGUGUUCUGACAAUCACUAAUAGUUUAAAGAGUGAAUACAUAUAGCAGAGACUGAUGGGAAUUGAUGCUUCGUCUCAAAAAACUGUAAAACUGCUUAAAAAUUUAUUGUUAUUGAAUUUAAAAUGCUCAAAAUAAGUUAAAAAAGAGCAAAAACUAGGAUUUAAAAAGUUCUAAACUGUGAAACCUGCCUAGAAAUAGCUGUUAAUAGGCCUUAAAAAAUUAUACUAGGAUUUUAAAAUGUUCUAUAUUGUAAAAACUGUCCCAAAAUAGCUGCUUCCAGGCCUUCAAAAAUCAUACUCCAAAAAUAGCUGCUUCCAGGCCUUCAAAAAUCAUACUCCAAAAUAGCUUCUUCCAGGCCUUCAAAAAUCAUACUCCAAAAUAGCUGCUUCCAGGCCUUCAAAAAUCAUACUCCAAAAUAGCUGCUUCCAGGCCUUCAAAAAUCAUACUAAGUCCAUCAUUCUUCCAAGAGCCUCCGGAGAAAGACUGUGAGCGUUCGGCAUCAGAGAAAACUGCUCCUGAGGUCCCACUGAUGGCUGCCUUGUCCUAAUGCACAGGCAAGGAAGCUCUUCACCCAGACACUUGCAGAAGGCUGGCUGAUGGAGGCUACUGGGAGGUCUAGUUGUCACCUGGUCCUGUGUCACACCACCCAGACAUCCACAGCAGGCUACUAGGAGGCACUGGCCAGUCACCUGGCCCAUGUCACCUCACCUGAGAAAGAGAAUUAGUUAGCUUGUGUCUAUGUCUGGCUCGUCAACACACUGCCACCUGAGAAGUCUACCACCAAUAUGAAGGUUCCCACUCCCUCUGCCGUCUUUAAGUGUAGGAAUCAAAGAUGUAUUGUGUUUUAAGUGUCCGAGUUCCUUUAAUAAAUGUAACUAAUGGAC
Molecule: long non-coding RNA, 966 nt
Organism: Eriocheir sinensis (Chinese mitten crab)
Lineage: Eukaryota; Metazoa; Arthropoda; Malacostraca; Decapoda; Varunidae
Exons: 2
Source: RefSeq, a predicted model, not a curated record